GGGCGAUUAGCUCAGCGGGAGAGCACUGCCUUCACACGGCAGGGGUCACUGGUUCGAACCCAGUAUCGCCCACCA
This 75-nucleotide transfer RNA is filed under the name Desulfobulbus sp. Its description in RNAcentral is "tRNA-Val". It matches the Rfam family "tRNA". From Rfam's summary of the family: Transfer RNA (tRNA) molecules are approximately 80 nucleotides in length. The record is from RNAcentral. RNAcentral also lists the same sequence under 31 other names. Lineage: Bacteria; Pseudomonadati; Thermodesulfobacteriota; Desulfobulbia; Desulfobulbales; Desulfobulbaceae.